GGGCAUAUGGUGUAGCUGGUUAUCACGCCCGCUUAGCAUAAUCAUGUUACCUGCGGGCGGUCUCCGGUUCGAGUCCGGAUUUGUCCA
This 87-nucleotide transfer RNA is filed under the name Athelia sp. TMB. Its description in RNAcentral is "tRNA-Ala". It matches the Rfam family "tRNA". Rfam says of the family: Transfer RNA (tRNA) molecules are approximately 80 nucleotides in length. Lineage: Eukaryota; Fungi; Basidiomycota; Agaricomycetes; Atheliales; Atheliaceae. The record is from RNAcentral.